AAAUGAAUUAAAUGAUUAAUUUUUCAAUUUUAUAAACCAAAUGUGAUUUAAUGAAAUGAUUUCAUAAAAUUAUUUUAAAAUUGAAUAAUGGCUUUGAAAAUAGAGUAAUUGGAGACCAUUUGAUGUAUUGUGAAUUUAUGGUUCUAAUUGAUUGGCUUAUGACAAUAUUGUCAUGAAUGGCUGAAUUGCUAUUUAUGUUGAAAUGUAUAAACUGUUGUUUGCCUUGAUAGGCUGGAUAAUGAUAAAAUUGUCAUAUCAUGCUGUUGAAUUUUUAUUGUAUGGUGGGUAUAGCUUGCUGCAAUGGGCUGGUUCUGUGGACUAGCCUAUUAGAGGGGCACAGAACUUGGUCAUAUUCUUACAUCGGUUGGAGAGGCGAGUAGGGUAACUCCCAAGGUAUAACUUUAGAGUUCACUUCACACCAAACCACCUCGUGAUGAUGAACUCCGCUAACGCUAAGGAACGGCUAUGUUUUUAAAAUAAAAACAUGAUUUAUGCGUACAUAACUUUUUAC
This 511-nucleotide long non-coding RNA is filed under the name Theobroma cacao (cacao). RNAcentral's name for it is "long non-coding RNA (TCAC_LNC001006)". The record is from RNAcentral. Lineage: Eukaryota; Viridiplantae; Streptophyta; Magnoliopsida; Malvales; Malvaceae.